This 423-nucleotide ribosomal RNA is filed under the name Typhloiulus serborum. RNAcentral's name for it is "partial 16S ribosomal RNA". It matches the Rfam family "Archaeal large subunit ribosomal RNA", at positions 1909 to 2592 of the family's 2987-position model. Lineage: Eukaryota; Metazoa; Arthropoda; Diplopoda; Julida; Julidae. The record is from RNAcentral.
AGUUGUCUGGUUUUUAUAGGCAGCUUAGCCUGCCCACUGAGAUUUAUAGGGCUGCAGUAUUAUGACUGUACAAAGGUAGCACAAUCACUAGUCUUUUAAUUGAGGACGGGUAUGAAAGGUGACACAAGGGAGCACUAUUUACUAUUUAGUUUGUUAAAUUUUUCUUUGUUGUUAGAAGACAACGAUGUGAUUAAAAGACAAGAAGACCCUUUUAAAGUUUAUUUAAUCAAGAGCAUUUUUAUUUGAGAUCAGUAUAAUUGGUUUGAUUAGGUUUAGCUGGGGCGGCAAAUAUAAAACAUUAUUUAAUAAUAAAUAAGUUAUUAGCUAGUAAAAUGAACCUGAAGAAGGGAUGAAAGAAUAAGUUACUAAAGGGUUAACAGCGUAAUAUUAUUUGAGAGUUCAUAUUGACAAUGGUGUUUGCGA